UUUUUUAGUAGCUGUGGUUGAAAGUCGAAGCCAGUCGCAGGCGAAACGAUCCACAUAAGGUAAACUUUGUUUACUGAGCAUGGUGCGGUUUUGGAGUAAGUCCUGCCUUAACCUUAAUUGGUGAUAAUAAUAAGAGAAGGGUAGUAGUGAGGGAUAAAGUUCCUGAGCAAACCUCUCAGCAGGCGAGUGUGGGGGCAAAGACCAGGUCAGUCUGAAGAA
Molecule: non-coding RNA, 219 nt
Filed under: unclassified sequences
Description: raiA RNA
Rfam family: raiA RNA
Source: Rfam by way of RNAcentral